Molecule: ribosomal RNA, 481 nt
Filed under: uncultured bacterium
Lineage: Bacteria
Description: partial 16S ribosomal RNA
Rfam family: Bacterial small subunit ribosomal RNA
Source: RNAcentral
GAUGAACGCUGGCGGCGUGCUUAACACAUGCAAGUCGAACGAAGCACUUUAUUUGAUUUCCUUCGGGACUGAUUAUUUUGUGACUGAGUGGCGGACGGGUGAGUAACGCGUGGGUAACCUGCCUUGUACAGGGGGAUAACAGUUGGAAACGGCUGCUAAUACCGCAUAAGCGCACAGCAUCGCAUGAUGCAGUGCGAAAACCUCCGGAGGUAUAAGAUGGACCCGCGUUGGAUUAGCUAGUAGGGGAGGUAACGGCCCACCAAGGGGACGAGCCCUACCCGGCCUGGGAGGGUGGCCGGCCACUUUGGGGCUGGGCCACGGCCCAAACUCCUACGGGAGGCAGCAGUGGGUAAUGUUGCACAAUGGGGGAAGGCCUGAUGCAGCGACGCCGCGUGAGCGAAGAAGUAUUUCGGUAUGUAAAGCUCUAUCAGCAGGGAAGAUAAUGACGGUACCUGACGAAGAAGCACCGGCUAACUACGUG